This 637-nucleotide ribosomal RNA is filed under the name uncultured bacterium. Its description in RNAcentral is "bacterial SSU rRNA". It matches the Rfam family "Bacterial small subunit ribosomal RNA", at positions 858 to 1498 of the family's 1533-position model. The record is from RNAcentral.
CAUUAAACAUUCCGCCUGGGGAGUACGGUCGCAAGAUUAAAACUCAAAGGAAUAGACGGGGACCCGCACAAGUGGUGGAGCAUGUGGUUUAAUUCGAAGAUACGCGAAGAACCUUACCUGGCCUUGACAUCCCAAGAACCCUCCAGAGAUGGAGGGGUGCCCCUUUUGGGGAACUUGGUGACAGGUGCUGCACGGCUGUCGUCAGCUCGUGUCGUGAGAUGUUGGGUUAAGUCCCGCAACGAGCGCAACCCUCGUGUUUAGUUGCUAACAGUUCGGCUGAGCACUCUAGACAGACUGCCUCCGCAAGGAGGAGGAAGGUGAGGACGACGUCAAGUCAUCAUGGUCCUUACGGCCAGGGCGACACACGUGCUACAAUGGGUAGGACAAUGAGACGCAAUACCGCGAGGUGGAGCAAAUCUAUAAACCUACUCUCAGUUCGGAUUGUAGUCUGCAACUCGACUACAUGAAGCUGGAAUCACUAGUAAUCGUAGAUCAGCCAUGCUACGGUGAAUACGUUCCCGGGUCUUGUACUCACCGCCCGUCACACCAUGGGAGUUGAGUUCACCCGAAGCGGGGAAGCUAAACUGGCUACCUGCCACGGUGGGCUCAGCGACUGGGGUGAAGUCGUAACAAGGUA